RNAcentral lists this long non-coding RNA (554 nucleotides) under Brachypodium distachyon (stiff brome). Its description in RNAcentral is "long non-coding RNA (BDIS_LNC001576)". Lineage: Eukaryota; Viridiplantae; Streptophyta; Magnoliopsida; Poales; Poaceae. The record is from RNAcentral.
UUGACUGUUUCACAUUUUUCAUCAAUAUUUUCUUGCAUGAGUACUCUUCAUGCUUAUCAAUAUUUUCAUCCCUCUCUUAUAUAUUUCAGCACUUUUUUUUUUGCCAAUAGGCACUUAAUAUGGGGGCCGGCCUCACCACGUACGUGUUAUUUCUAGGUACAUGUUUAUCACUAUGAAGAAAUCUCAACCCUUGGUUUGUAUCUAUACCAAUAUAUUAAAUUAGAGUUGGUGGUGAUGAUACGGUCGCCACCGUAGGUUAAUUUCGUUAAAAUUAUAACCAAUAUGUCACUGCCCGUUAUUUUUUUUUCCUCCAGUUGUUUGCACGAUUUCUCCUACUCCAUCUUACAACCGACGCCACCACACCCGCAUGCCAACCUCAACGGCGCCAUGAAUUGCCUACACAGAAAAUGAAAAUAAAUAAUUUGUGAUUUUGUUGACCCGUAGCAACGCGCGGGCACACCUGCUAGUAAGCAGUAAUAUCCGAAUCAAAUCUUACAUAGGAGCAUAUAUAUAAUUAAUUAAAUCGCCACAUUAAUAUUCAAAUUAAAGCCACA